CAAGGAUGAAAUCCUCACUGCCAUUAAAGGGAAAGGAAAUUACAGCUCUUCAAAGCUGUCUCUACUGCUGCAGAAGCUAACCGAUCUGCAAGAUAGGAACGACCAGCUGUCUUGCUGUCAACAUCUGAUAAAUAGUGUGGGUGCUCUGACGCCAGAGCGAGAGGUGGAAAUGGAUCAGACCAGGGGUGUGUUUGAGCGCCUGCAGGGAACCAAGCAGGAACUGGAGAAGAGCCUGUCCCAGACACUACAAGACAAGGACAAGGCCAUUGCACACCUGCAGGAUGCUCUGGACACAAAGGACAAGGACAUUGAGUAAUAUCUCUUCAGGUCAUGGCUGGUCAGUUCCAUAGCCAGACAGAAGAAAGCAACAGGGAGCUAGAACGACUGGAACAGAGACAGAGAGACGGAGGACAUUUUGGCUCAAUUCAAUGCAGAUAAGCAGAGACAGCUGACUGAUCACCAACUCACAGUAGAAGAGCUCCAGUCUGCCAUCAGUAUCAGGUGGUUCUCUGUAGCUCAGCUGGUAGAGCACAGCGCUUGU
Molecule: long non-coding RNA, 541 nt
Organism: Coregonus clupeaformis (lake whitefish)
Lineage: Eukaryota; Metazoa; Chordata; Actinopteri; Salmoniformes; Salmonidae
Exons: 3
Source: RefSeq, a predicted model, not a curated record